This 492-nucleotide ribosomal RNA is filed under the name uncultured bacterium. Its description in RNAcentral is "partial 16S ribosomal RNA". It matches the Rfam family "Bacterial small subunit ribosomal RNA", at positions 28 to 507 of the family's 1533-position model. The record is from RNAcentral.
GAUGAACGCUAGCUACAGGCUUAACACAUGCAAGUCGAGGGGAAACGACAUCGAAAGCUUGCUUUUGAUGGGCGUCGACCGGCGCACGGGUGAAUAACGCGUAUCCCACCUGCCCAUCACUUGGGAAUAACCUUGCGAAAGUAAGACUAAUACCCACUGAUAUCCCACGAAGGCAUCGGAAUGUGAUUACAGAUUUAUCGGUGAUGGCUGGGGUUGCGUCUGAUUAGCUUGUUGGCGGGGGAACGGCCAACCAAGGCAACGAACAGUAGGGGUUCUGAGAGGCAGCCCCCCCACAAUGGAACUGAGACACAGACCAAAAUGCGACGGGGGGGAGCAGUGAGGAAUACGAGUGAAUGGGGGAGAACCUGAACCAGCCAAGUAGCGUGCAGAAAGACGGCCCUAUGGGUUGUAAACUGCUGUUAUAAGGGAAUAAAGGGGGUCACGUGUGACUUUUUGCAGGUACCUUAUGAAUAAGGACCGGCUAAGUCCGUG